GUCCCAAUCCUCUCCGGGCCCUGCUGGAGAGUCAGCUGGGUGAGGGGCUUUUCCAGUCCAGCUUUAGUUUUCUCUCUCCUUGGCUGAAGGCAAGGUUGCCAUUCCAUCCCCUUGGAGCCUCAAGCCUCGAAGCCUGGGCGGUGCCGCAUUCCUCUGGUGAGUACCAAGGGGGUGCUGUGGGAUCUGAGACCUCCUUGUUUCCUCAGGGUCAAGGAGCUGAGCCCCCACAGUGGGCCCAGUGGAGAGCAGUUGAUUCAAAUGGAAACAGAAGAGAUGGAAGCCUGCUCUAACGGGGCGCUGAUUCCAGGCAAUUUAUCCAAGGAAGAGGAGGAACUGUCUUCCCAGAUGUCCAGCUUUAACGAAGCCAUGACUCAGAUCAGGGAGCUGGAGGAGAAGGCUGUGGAAGAGCUCAAGGAGAUCAUACAGCAAGGACCAGACUGGCUUGAGCUCUCUGAGAUGACCGAGCAGCCGGACUAUGAC
This 480-nucleotide small RNA is filed under the name Pan troglodytes (chimpanzee). RNAcentral describes it as "processed transcript". Lineage: Eukaryota; Metazoa; Chordata; Mammalia; Primates; Hominidae. The record is from RNAcentral.